AAAAGAAGCAGUUCACAAGCUAGUCCCUUGCUAUCUCAAAAUGGAGGUACUUCAAAAGAUGUGGAGAUAUUGGAGUCCAGGCCCUCAAAGGUAAGGAGAAAGAUGUUUGAUCUUCAACUUCCAGCUGAUGAGUACUUAGAUACUGAAGGACAACAAGUACAACUAAGGGAUGAAAAUAUAUGUGGUAUUUCUAGUUAUCCGUCAAAUAGGAAUCAUAAAGUUGCACCUGGGAGUGGAAUAAAUGUGCUUGUUGGUACCGGUGGGAAGAAUAAUUGCCAAGGAGAUACAUUGCAAUCUGAAUCAUGUUUAAAAAGCAAAAAUAAUNACUUGAAUGAGCCUAUUGAGGUUGAGGAUAUAAAUGCAUCUGCAAAUGAUCUUCUAGGCUGUACUUCCUCCCAUUGUGAGAUUCAAGAGCAUGAACUGGCUGC
RNAcentral lists this unclassified non-coding RNA (428 nucleotides) under Hevea brasiliensis (rubber tree). Lineage: Eukaryota; Viridiplantae; Streptophyta; Magnoliopsida; Malpighiales; Euphorbiaceae. The record is from RNAcentral.